Long non-coding RNA from Myotis daubentonii (Daubenton's bat), 6043 nucleotides. RefSeq lists it as uncharacterized. The transcript has 2 exons. NCBI's taxonomy places the organism in Eukaryota, Metazoa, Chordata, Mammalia, Chiroptera, Vespertilionidae. The record is from RefSeq and is a predicted model, not a curated record.
UAGGAAUGUAUCUUCCCAGCAGACUGCUGUCCUCCCAGAGGCUGAGAUAUCUCAUUGCACAACUCCAGGGGGCGCCAUUCAUGGGGACUAUGGAAUGAAUGAUGUGCCUGGGUGCUGUGCAGUGGCUCUGCCCCCAGUGGUCUAGGCAACCUCCACAGGUGCCUUCUGUGGAAACCUGAACUCUCUAGGGACCCAUACUCCCCGUUAAGGGCUUUUUUAUGCUGCUGUGGAGAUCAAAGAAAGCAUCCAAGUGGCAGGGGAGAACGUGGCAGCAGGAUAAAUAGAAAGGUGCCGAUGCAUAGAUGGAGCAUGGAGAGAUGUCAUCUUGUUGCUAACAGUGAACUGCAGUUUAUUCCUCAACUCCAGAGCGUCUUCUGGUGGGAGAAAUAGGGGUCAAGCCCAGGUGGGGAACAACAGAGGGUCUCUCGGGAAGGGGUGGGUAGUAGUAAACCACACUUGAAGGGAAGUGGGACAAGAGCUCCCUGAUCUGGGCCUCCCGGGAAGCUGUGGUCAUGGGGAAGCCAGUAGCCAGGCUUCCUGUCCCAAGACUAGCCCUGAAAGGAAGUGCAGGGCACAGCACCCUUCCUUCUCUGUGGAAGGCUUCCUGGGGUCCUGUGGUUCCAUUACCACUGCACUCAGUCUUACUCUCUUUUUGCCUGACAAAGCCUUAAAAAAGAAAUAAGCUGUGACUUUUUUCAAGUUCCCAUUUUGUGAAGUCCAUUUUCACAAGAGAAAAACCAGGAAGAGUGGUUUUUGGCUUGUUUAAUUUUGGCAGGUGAUUUACUUUCCCAACAGAUCUCUUUUUCUCAAAUCCCAAAUAUUUAUCGGAUGAGUACGAAAACAAAGCAUUUAGGAAAGAUGUUGAAUAGCAAGGUGCAUUAUCUCAGAAUCAAAAACUUGCUGAAAAUAAUCCGUGCAUUAUAUAAGCAAAUAUUAAUUAAAUUCAGAAUACAUAGAAAAAUAAUGGCAAAUAAUUAUAUGAUAUUUAUUGUGUCAGAUACUGUUCUAACUUUAUAUUAGCUCUAAAUGUCCUCAAAAACCCCUGUGACUAGGUGCUACUAUCAUCCCUAGCAUAGAGAGGAAAACUGAUGUGUAGAGAGAUUGAUUUAACCUCUCCAGGGCACUCAGCUAAGUGGCAGUGCUGGGAUUGGAACCAAGGCCAUCUGGCCCAGAGUCCUGCUAGUGACAUUAUACUGAGCUGCCCAGUAAUAUAAUGUUUACACUAAGAAUCAUUGCCUUACUGCCCCCCUAUCUGACUUUUAAAGCUGUUCUUAACAUAGCCCACCAGCAAUGAUGAAAAUGCUGCUGUUUCAGCCCAGCACUUAUGUAAGAGAGAGUCAGUCAGUGUAGGGCGCUCAAAUGUGUGUACGUAAUUUUAGCAUCCCUGUGGGAAUAUCAGCAGGUUCGGUCUAAAGGCAGGCAAACUUCUGUUUACAUAGGAUACUUUCUGAGAAUGAGGCCAAAAUACUAUACCGCAUAGAAGAGACUCAUCUGCCUGCUGUGGAGAACUCCAUUCCCCCACUGAGCAACCACCAGCCACCCAUGGGACAAGUUCCAUUGGCCUGGCCCCCUUCUUAUAGGGCCUUGGCUUGGGCAUCUGCCCCCAGCAGCAUCUUUAAAAGAGUUUAGUACUUCCCGUGGUGGUACCAGAUGACGCCUGGAGGGUGACACUAGCCUCAAAGCAUUAAGCAAACCAGUGGAGCCUGAGUCUCGAUCUCCAAGGCCGGUUCUUCAGAAAGUAACAGGGAGUCUACAGUGCAUUUUUGAAAAAUGAAGACAAAUUCCCAAAAGGGCAGCUUCAAAUGAUAGAAAUUCCAUACUUGAAUGAUAAAAGCUGGAGUCGAGCCUAGAACAAAAAGAGUUAUAUGGAAGCGGCUUUACCGUGACGUUCUGCAACUUCACUUCCGAGAGGAAUCUCACAGGCAGGCUGUCGCGGAGUUGCUCCAUGGAAAUGUGGUUAUUGAGGUUACAGAGUCUGUUAUCAGGAGGCAGUUCCACUUCCCAGAGGAGGAGAUGGACAGACCAAAGCACCCUGAGGCCAUGAGCCUGGGAGACAGACACCAGUGUAUUUUGGUCAGUUCAACAAGUGUCAGGAAUUGGCUUCUGACAUUUCCCCCUGCAGCUGCUUUUGAAUUGGAUGUUAUGUUUUCCCCUCAGACUCCUUUCUAAAAAUAUUAGUCUGUUUUUCAGAUUCAGACAGCUACAGACAUUGUUUUAAAUUUAGCACAUAGUAUAAUUUUAAAUUGUAGUCUUCCAGAGAACACAUUCUUAAUCUCAUUUACUUCUUCAUUGCCUCAAUUUCUUUAAAAAAUAACUUUAAUCAUUAGCCUUAGGGAUUACAUUUUGAAACUUCCUUUUAAACUGAAGGAAUCUGAAUAGUACUUUUAGUGCACCUGUUAUUUUAGCCAGGCCUUAUGAUGGUGAUGAUAAAAAAAAUAUUGUCUUACAUUUGUGUAAUAAUUUAGCAAUAGUAGAAUACAUAUGAGUAUUUUUGGACUUACACUCUUAUUUGUUACCUCUAUGUUUUUAAUUAAAGAGACUUUACUAAAUAGACUCUUUUUAGAUUAUGAGUAGUAUAUAGUCAUUUAGUAUCAUUGUGAAUUUAAAAAAACUAACUUAAUACAAGUGUACAGUGUCAGUCCAGACACAGGCUGGUUCCACCAGCUAAUUUAGCUGCGGAGAUGAAGGGAAAUAGACUCUUGCCAAAAAUCACUGCUGAUUCACCAGCAAAAUAUACAUUUUUUUAAAUUUUUUUUUAAAUUUGAGGCAUUAGUUGGUUUUUGUGUGUAUGCUAUGCUUCCUGUUAGGGUACAAAACAAAUCUUCCUAAGUUCAAAAAGACUGAAACCAUAUCAAGCAUCUUCUCAGAUCACGACGGCACAAAACUAGAAAUCAACUACAAUAAAAAAACUCAAAAAACAUUCAAACACAUGGAGGCUAAAUAGUAUGUUAUUAACAAUGAAUGGGUUACCAAUUAGAUCAAGGAAGAAAUAAAAAACUUCCUGAAAAUAAAUGAAAUUGAAUACACAAGAACACAAAAUUCUAUGGGACACAGAGAAAGCAGUCCUGAGGGAAGUUCAUAGCAUUACAGGCCUACCUCAAGAAAAAGAAAAAGCUCAAAUCCUAUAUAAUAAAAGUCUAAUAUGCUAAGUGCCUGGUCAUCCAGUCAUCCGAUCAAACAAUCGAAGCAUAAUAUACUAAUGAUAUACUGAGGCUGCUCAACUGCUCACUAUGAUGUGCACUGAUCACCAGGGGGCAGAUGCUCUGUCCUGUAAGUUAGCUUGCUGCUGGGGUAUGGCCAUUUGGGACUGAGCAAGACAGGCGGACAUGCCCUGGAGACCUCCUGCAGCCCCUCCCCCCAGCUGGCCCUGCCCCCCAUGGGCCCCCAUCGUGGCGGGCCAGCCGGACCCUACUCGUGAACGAAUUCGUGCACCAGGCCUCUAGUAAGUGAUAAAUCCUACACCUAAAAGAAAUAGAGAACAAGAAGAAAAGCCCCGAAGAAGUAGAAGGAAGGAAUAAUAAAGAUCAGAGCGGAAGCCCUAGCUGAUUUGGCUCAGUGGAUAGAGUGUCGGCCUGCAGACUAAAGGGUCCUAGGUUCGAUUCCAGUCAAGGGCACAUGCCCGGGUUUGGGGCUUGAUCCCCAGCAGGGGGCAUGCAGGAGGCAGCCAAUCAAUGAUUCUCUUUUAUCGUUGAUAUUUCUAUUUCUCUCUCCCUCUCCCUUCCUCUCUUAAAUCAAUAAAAGGAUAAAAAUAAAAAUAUAUCGGAGCUGAAAUAAAUGACACAGACACUAAACAAUAUAAAAGAUCAAUGAAACCAAGAACUAGUUCUUUGAAAAGAUAAACAAGAUUGAUGAACCUUUAGUCAGAAUCAUCAAGAAACAAAGAGAAAGGACCCAAAUAAGUAAAAUCAGAAAUGAAAAAGGCACCACAGAAAUACAAAGGAUUGUAAGAGAAUACUUUGAACACCUACUAGUAUAUGCCAACAAACUGGACAACCUGGGACAAAUGGACAAAUUCCUGAAAACAUACAAUCUUCCAAAACUCAUUCAGGGGAAAUCAGAAAACCUGAAUAGGCUGAUAACAACUAAUGAAAUUGAAGCAGUAAUCAAAAAAAUCUCCUAGCAAACAAAAGUCCUGGACCUGAUAGAUUUACAGACAAGUAAUAUCAAACAUUCAAAGAAGAGCUAACACCUGUCCUCCUCAAACUCUUCCAAAAAAUUCAAGAGGAGGGAAGACUUCCAAGCUCUUUUUACAAGGCCAGCAUUAUCCUAAUUCCAAAACCAGAUAAGAACACUACAAAGAAAUAAAAUUACAGGCCAAUAUCCCUGAUCAACAUGGAUGCUAAAAUUCUCAACAAAAUAUUAGCAAAUAGGAUCCAGCAAUACAUUAAGAAGAUCAUACACCAUGACCAAGUGGGAUUUAUUCUGGGGAUACAAGGCUGGUUAAUAUUCGCAAAUCAAUAAAUGUGAUACAUCACAUAAACAAAAUGAAGGGUAAAAAUCAUAUCAUAUCAACAGAUGCAGAAAAAGCAUUCAACAAAAUACAACAUUCACUUUUUUAAAAUAUACAUAUAUCUUAUUGAUUUUUUUACAGAGAGGAAGGGAAAGGGAGAGGAAUAGAGAGUCAGAAACAUCGAUGAGAGAGAAACACCGAUCAGCUGCCUCCUGCACACUCCCUACUGGGGAUGUGUCCGCCACCAAGGUACAUGCCCUUUACCAGAAUCGAACCUGGACCCUUCAGUCCACAGGCCGAUGCUCUACCCACUGAGCCAAACCAGUCAGGGCAGCAUUCACUUUUGAUAAAAACUCCCAGCAAAGUGGAAAUAGCGGAAACACACCUCAACAUAAUAAAGGCCAUAUAUGAUAAACCUGUAGCCAACAAUAUAUUCAAUGGGCAAAAACUAAAAGCAUUUCCCUUAAGAACAGGAACAAGACAGGGUUGUCUGCUUUCAUUGUUCUUAUUCAACCUAGUACUAGAAGUUUAGCCACAGUGAUCAGACAAGAAGAAGAAAUAAAAGGCAUCCAAAUUGGAAAGGAGGAAGUAAAACUCUCAUUACUCACAAUUAACAUAAUAUUGUACACAGAAAACUCUAAAUAUUCCACCAAAAAAACUACUAGAUUUAAUAAAUGAAAUUGGCAAAGUAGCAGAAUACAAAAUUAACAUCCAGAAAGCAAUGGCAUUUUUAUAUACCAAUAAUGAAUUCUCAAAAAGAGAAACUAAAAAACCAAUCCCAUUUACCAUUGUAACAAAAAUAAUAAGAUACCUGGGAAUAUACUUAACUGCUGGGGUAAAAGACCUAUGUUCGGAAAACUCUAAGACAUUGAAAAAAGAAAUAGUGGACUAUACAAACAAGUGGAAGCAUAUACUGUGUUCAUGGAUUGGGAGAAUAACAUCAUUAAAAUGUGUACUAACCAAGGCAAUCUAUAGAUUCAAUGCAAUCCCUAUCAAAAUACCAUCGGCAUAUUUCACAGAUCUAGAAAAUAUUUUCCAAAAAUUUAUAUGGAACCUAAAAAGACCGUGAAUAGCCACAGCAAUCUUGAGAAAGAAGAACAAAAUUGUAGGGGUCAGCAUACCAGAUAUCAAAUUAUUCUACAAAGCCAUUGUGAUUAAAACAGCCUGGUACUGGCACAAAAACAGACAUAUAGAUCAAUGAAACAAAACAGAGACUCCAGAAAUUGACCCAUGCCAUUAUGGUCAAUUAAUAUUUGACAAAGGAGGCAAGAGCAUACAGUGGAAUAACGACAGUCUCUUCAAUAAAUGGUGUUGGAAAAAUUGGAUAGUUAAAUGAAAAAAAAAGAAACUAGACCACCAACUUACACCAUACACAAGAAUAAACUCAAAAUGGAUAGAAGACUUAAAAGUAAGUCAUGAAACCAUAAAAAUCCUAGAAGAAAACAGGCAGUAAAAUCUCAGACAUCUCACAUAGCAGAAUUUUCUCUGAUAACAUCUCCUAGGGCAAGAGAAACGAAGGAAAAAAAUAAACAAAUGGGGCUACAUUAAACUAAAAAGCUUCUGCACAGAAAAAAAAAAUCCUCAAAAUGAAAA